Molecule: long non-coding RNA, 4503 nt
Organism: Bos taurus (domestic cattle)
Lineage: Eukaryota; Metazoa; Chordata; Mammalia; Artiodactyla; Bovidae
Source: Ensembl
GAGGACACCUAAUGCCCGUCAGCUGUGCCCCGGGCCAAGCCUGCGGCCUGAAGACACGGUCGGCCCUGGGAAGUGAGGCGGCUUGUCGCCCUCUGCGGGCCAACUGGGAGAAUGCAGGCCACGCCCGCUCCCACUGCAGAGCGGCCGGGGUCUUUCCUGCCCGUCGUGCUCGAGGCACAACACUCUGGAAAUAAACGGGUCGAGGCCACUAUCCCAGGACUUGUGCAACCUAACUACAGGGUAAUUAGGAACCACAAAAGGAAUGUAGGAACAGACUUUACAGCUCAAACCAAAAGACACUCCAAGUUGUCUAAAGGCAAAUUUAAAAUAUAAAACUUUUUAAAAUUAUAGAAGAAAAUCGACAUGGCUGUGGCUUUUGUCAUGUAGACCACAAACUUUUAUUUCCAACACAUCACAUGAAAAUCCACAGAAAAGGGGAAAAAAUAGCAAACUUUAUAAAACUGAAAAUUGUACCGGUGAAAUCACUUAUCCAGAAAGUCAAAACCCAGGCCAGAAAUGAAGAAAAAAUAUUUGCAAACUACACAUGUGAUAAAGAACUUGUACCUGCAUAAUAUAAAGUGCUAUGAAACAAGCAGCUACGUUAAAAAAAUGGGUACCAGGAGCUUAUUUAACUAAUAUGCAGAGUACAUCAUGUAAAAUGCUGGGCUGGAUGAAACUCAAGCCGGAAUCAAGAUUGCCAGAAUAAAAUUAUCUCAUACGCAGAUGACACCACCCUUAUGGCAGAAAGCAGAGAGAAACUAAAGAGCCUCUUGAUGAAGGUAGAAGAGGAGAGUGAAAAUGCUGGCUUAAAACUCAGCAUUCAGAAAGCUAAGAUCAUGUCAUCCGAUCCCAUCACUUCAUGGCAAACAGAUGGGGAAACAGUGGAAACAUUGACAGACUUGUUUUCUUGGGCUCCAAAAUCACUGUGGAUGGUGACUGCAGCCAUGAAAUUAAAAGAUGCUUGUUCCUUGGAAGAAAAGCUAUGACCAACCUAGACAAUAUAUUAAAAAGCAGAGACAUCUGCUGACAAAGGUUGGUAUAGUCAAAGCUGUGGUUUUUCCAGUAGUCAUGUAUGGAUGUGAGAGUUGGACCACAAGGAAGCCUGAAUUGAUGCUUUCAAACUGUGGUGCUGAAGAAGACUCUUGAGUCCCGUGGACUGCAAGGAGAUCCAAUCAGUCCAUCCUAAAGGAGAUCAGUCCUGGCUGUUCAUUGGAAAGACUGAUGCUGAAGCUGAAGCUCCAAUAUUUAGGCCACCUGAUUCGAAUGAAGAACUGACUCCCUGGAAAAGAUCCUGAUGCUGGGGAAGAUUGAAGGCAGGAGGAGAAGGGGACGACAGAGGAUGAGAUGGUUGGAUGGCAUCACUGAUCAAUGGACAUGAGUUUGAGCAAACUCUGGGAGAUGGUGAUGGACAGGGAGGCCUGGCGUGAUGCAGUCCAGGGGGUUGCAGAGUUGGACACGACUGAGCGACUGAACAGCAGCCAGUGCCUCCACCAUCGCCUCCUCUGGGCCACCUUGCUCUAGAUGUGCCCAGGCGGCUUCGGGAGCCCAGUGUCUCCCGGCUCUCACCUCACCCCAGCGCUGCCCAGGGCUGUUUGUCAGAAACUGUGCUGGUUACAAAGAGAAGAUGCUCCUUCCCCAUGGCCCUCCCAGGGCAAGGGGCACUUUUAAACAGGCACUUCCAGGAUGGGAAGCCACCUGGGCAGAAGCCUUCCAGAACCCGACUCACCUGGGCAGCCCAUGGAGUUUAUCUGGCCUCCCCCAACCAGGCCUCCACAUCUCCCCUCCUCUCCCUCACUCCUGGGCUCCUCUCCUGGGGAGAGUUCUUUUCUUUUUUUAAGAUUCAUUCAUUUAUUUUACUGCUGGCUGUGGUAGGACUUUAUCACUGCACACGAGCCUCCUCUCUGGUUGUCGGGAGUGGGGGCUCCUCCUCGCCAAGGUCAGCGGGCUUCGCAUCGUGGCGCCUUCUCUUGCCUGGAGCUCAGGCUCCAGAUGGGCCAACUUCAGUAGUUGCAGUGCGUGGGUCCCAGCGCACAGGCUCAGCUGCUGGGGCGCAGCCUCACUCUCUCUGAGGCAUGUGGGAUCAUCCUGGCCAGAGAUCACCAGAGAUCGAACUGGUGUCCCAUGCUUUGCAAGGUGGAUUAAUAACCACUGGACCACCAGGAACGCAUGACAGGUCUUCUUGAAAUUGUUUCCCACUUAUAGGCCAGUUAACAUACUUAGCAGACAGACCAGAGCUGCAGCCCCACGUCCAUCCUGACCUUCAGGACACAGCUGGUCCGUGGACUUGGGACAGCAGGGCCCGUUUUCUGUAAAUGAGCCCCUGGUGGGCAAGGAUCGGCUGACCCGGGCAGCGUGACCCAGCUGGCCAGCCCUUCCCAGGUGUGCCUGCUUGAGGCCCUGGUUCCAGGCAGGAGGGCGCCUGCAGCGGUACCAGACAUCACCUUCUCUGCCAUCAGAGGCCGCAGGGCUGGGCUGGCGAGAGGGAAUGAGGGGCCGUGGCGUGUCAGGGGGUCGCCUGCACGGGGCUCUGCUGGGCCUUCUGCAGGAGUUGCUAGGCUGCCACUUGAUAAGGAAGAGGUUGUGUUGCUGGUACCUGCUGUUGGAAGUCUUCCCAGGCAGAGGUGAGGAAGCAAAAACACAGGCAGUGGGAGCAGGGCAGAGGAGUAACUCAGGCGAUACCCUGUUUUUCCCUGCUGGUGCCAGUUUCUCAAGACUACAUGACCACCCGACCAUGAGACCCCUUUGACUAUGUGACCACAGGACUCCAGCUGUGGGCUAAGGAUAAACCCCUCUGGGGCACAAUUUCCCAUCGAUACGGUAUAAGAAGGGUUGGCUGUAACAAGAGAGCACUGGUUUCUCUCUAAAACCACUUUCUUUCUUCCUAUAAUAAAUAUUUCUCUGCCUGACUGUCCGGCUCACUCUCCUUUUCUCCAUGCUCGCCUUACAGCCAGGACUCAGAGUAGCAAAGUCAGGCCUCAGGAAGAGAAUGGAACCUCAGUGAGAAGCGAGCCGGAACUCACUGAGGUUGUAGCCAUGCCCCGGUGUGGAGUGGAGCCUGGCCUCAGUGAGGUCCAGAGCCGGGACUCAGAGUAGUCAAGUCAAUCCUCAGGAAGAGGGAGAAGAGAACCUCAGUGAGAAGCCAGCUGGGCUCAGUGAGAACCCUAGCCAGACCCCAGUGUGGGUGGAGCCAGUCCUCAGUCAGAGAGAAGCUGGGUCUCACUGAGGAGCAGAGCCAGACCUCAGAGAGGACCCGAGUCCAGUCUCUAUGUGGAGUGUAGCUGGGCCUCAGUGUAGAAUGGAGUCUUGCCUCAGAGAACCAAAUUCCGUCCUCAAGGAGGACCAGGCUGGGCCUGAGUGAAGAGUGGAGGUGAACCUUCACUCUCAGUGAAGGAACGUUGGGCUUCAGUGAGGAGGGUAGCUGAACCACAGUGAGGCCCAGAGCAGGACUCAGUGCUGGAGCUGAAUCUCAGUGAGGCCCAGAGCAGGACUCAGUGCUGGAGCCAGGCCCCGGUGCGGAGCAGAGCCAGGCCUACCUGAGGAGUGGCGCUGGCCCCAAGUGAGGAGGGGAGCCUGGCCUCAGAGUAGCAGUCAGGCCUCACGGAGGUGAACCAAACCUCGGUUAGAAGCAAGCCAAAUCUCUGUGAGGACCAGAGCCGGGGCUCACUAAGGACCUGAGCGUGGACUGGAGCUGUGCUUCACUGAGGACGAUACCGUGGCCUCACCGAGAACCACAGCCAGGCCCAUUGCAGGGCGGAGCUGUGCGGCAGUGCUGAGCGGAGCCAGGCCUCUGCAGGAGGAGCUGGGUCUCACGGAGCGGAGCCGAGCGGAGCCUGGCCUCAGUGCGGACCCUACCCGGGCCCCAGAGCACAUCACAGGACCGGAGUGGAACCUCAGUGAGGACGGGAGACAGGCCUCAGUGGGGACCAGAGCCGGUCCUCAUUGUGGACUGGAGCUGGUUCUCAGUGGAGAGCAGAGCCAGGCCUCAGAGGAGCAAAGUCAUGCCUCAAGGAGGAGCACAGCUGAACUGCAGUGAGAAGACAGCCUGGCCUCUGUGAGGACCGUAACCAGGCCCGUGUGGAGCAGAGCUGUCCUCACCGAGGAGGGAGCCGGACCUCAGGGAGCAAGGGAGGCACACGUGAUUGCGCAGUGGGGCCAGGCCUCACCGAGGACCACAGCCAGGCCCAGUGAGGGGCAGAGCCUUGCCGGGUCUCAGUGCGGAGAGGACCUGGCGUGCUGAGCUGAGCCGAGACUCAGGCAGGGGUGCAGCUGGACUUCAGUGAGGAGCAGAGCCAGCUCUCAGCGUUGAGGUCCGGAGCCAGGCCUCUGUGUGGACCAGAGCCGGGACGUAUGAGUACCGGAACCGGGACUCAGAGUAGCAAAGUCAGGCCUGAGAGAGGUGGAGAAUGGAGCGUCAGUGAGAAGUGAGCUGGGCCUCACUGAUCACCAGAUCUGGACCCCCGUGUGGCAUGGAACCAGGCCUCAGUGCAGGGCCCCACUGAAGAC